This 1217-nucleotide long non-coding RNA is filed under the name Hordeum vulgare. RNAcentral describes it as "long non-coding RNA (HVUL_LNC019568)". Lineage: Eukaryota; Viridiplantae; Streptophyta; Magnoliopsida; Poales; Poaceae. The record is from RNAcentral.
CCUUGUGUUGGCAGAACCAGCAAGGCUCCAUUGUUGCAUCCAUAUGGAACUUACAUGCUUGAAAAUGAACUGAGGUUAAUUCGAUUAUUCAUACAACAGAGGCAUUUUCCAUAGGCAACACUAAGACGAAACAAUCCUUUAGGGGAUGGAGCAUCCUCUUUUGGGCAAAAAACUUUUGCAAGUAGUUUAAUCAUGUAAUGCUUGUUACAAUGCUUUGCUGACCAAGUUAUGUUUGAUCAAAAUUCAAAAAAGCGCUAGGCGUUAAUUAUGCGUUCGACCACCUACUUGCGCUUUUCUAGCUUAGACGCGGUUAGGUGAAAUUUGGCGCAAUUAGGCGUUAGUACUGUAGGAUGAAAAGAUAAGCUAGAUGGGCUGGUCUAGCCCAUUAAACCACAGGCCCAUCUUCAUAUCCUCCUACUAAAGCUCUUGUAUGUUGUGCAGUGGACAGGAAAUUUAGGUUUCCUCCUCACGUCUUCCCCUCGUCCUCUCUCCCUUGCUACACUAGGCUGCUUCUCUCCCUCUUCCUCUGUCCCUUGCCAGAGAAGCUCGAUCCCUCACCGGAGAAGCCUGAUCCCUCGCCGGAAUCAGUCAAUUUGUUGUCGGAGUAGCUGAAUCCCUUGUCGGCUAGGAUGAAUCCUCGCAGGGGAGGUAGAAUCCUCAUCGGGGAAAUUGAUUUCUCACCUGAGAAACAUGAUUCCUCGCCGGAGAGACUGAUUUCUCGCAGGAGGACCUCACCGGCCGCUUUUUUGAGCGCCUUGGGCCAAAGCGAGGCGCUAGGCCAACGCCCAGCGCUUAAGCGCGCCUAAUAGCGCUUUUUUAACGAGGUGUUUGAUGCAAGAAGGCGAAGGUGAAAUAUCAGUCCAGACUGAAGAGAUUAUCAGAAUCAGAGUAAGGGCUGAAGAAAACACUAUGCUAAUUAUCCUGCCUUGUGCUAGGUUUGGUACUUCAGUCAGUUCCUUGGCUAAUACCUUAUAUAAGAUUGAGUAAAAAAAAACCUUAUACAAAAUUGUAUUGUCUCAAGAACCAGCGGUAGCUUCCAUGAAGGAGGGGACCUGCCCAGCAACUAACACAUGCAGGUUGUCUGCACUCCACAUGAGACAAACUAACACAGGAUUUUUAAACCACUGGCUAAGGUUUGUUGAUGCCUAAUUGCCUAGUCUCUUUUGGGUCCUUGAGGCAUGUGGCUCUAGGAAAACAUGCAUUAUAUUCAAUUUCAU